This 65-nucleotide transfer RNA is filed under the name Plectus aquatilis. Its description in RNAcentral is "tRNA-Val". The record is from RNAcentral. Lineage: Eukaryota; Metazoa; Nematoda; Chromadorea; Plectida; Plectidae.
UACAGUCUAGGUUAGAUUUAUGACUAUUGGUUUUACACUCCAAAGGGUUAUCUGUAUGAUUUUAU